RNAcentral lists this ribosomal RNA (2896 nucleotides) under Clostridioides difficile. RNAcentral describes it as "bacterial LSU rRNA". It matches the Rfam family "Bacterial large subunit ribosomal RNA". Lineage: Bacteria; Bacillati; Bacillota; Clostridia; Peptostreptococcales; Peptostreptococcaceae. The record is from RNAcentral.
UCAAGUUAUUAAGGGUGCAGGGCGGAUGCCUUGGCACUAGGAGCCGAUGAAGGACGUGAUAAGCUGCGAUAAGCUUCGGGGAGUUGCACGUAAACUUUGAUCCGAAGAUUUCCGAAUGAGGAAACUCACUUAGAGUAAUGUCUAAGUAUCAUUAAGUGAAUACAUAGCUUAAUGAGGGGAACUCAGGGAACUGAAACAUCUAAGUACCUGAAGGAAGAGAAAGAAAUUCGAUUCCGUAAGUAGCGGCGAGCGAACGCGGAUUAGCCCAAACCAAUAAAGUUUUCUUUAUUGGGGUUGCGGACAUAUCAUAACGAAGAGGUAUCGUAAUUGAAGAGGUUUGGAAAGACCCACCACAGAAGGUAAUAGUCCUGUAUGUUAAACGAGAAGACUUCAGAUAUGAUCCAGAGUACCACGGGACACGUGAAACCCUGUGGGAAGCAGGAGGGACCACCCUCCAAGGCUAAAUACUACCUAGUGACCGAUAGCGUAUAGUACCGUGAGGGAAAGGUGAAAAGAACCCCGGGAGGGGAGUGAAAUAGAACCUGAAACCCUGCACUUACAAGCUGUGGAAGCACAUUUCUUGUGUGACCGCGUACUUUUUGUAGAACGGGCCAACGAGUUACGUUAAGUAGCAAGGUUAAGCACUUAAGGUGCGGAGCCGUAGCGAAAGCGAGUUUUAACUGAGCGUUCAGUUACUUGACGUAGACCCGAAACCGGGCGACCUACCCAUGAGCAGGAUGAAGCGAAAGUAAAAUUUCGUGGAGGUCCGAACCCACGAGCGUUGAAAAGCUCGGGGAUGACUUGUGGGUAGCGGUGAAAUUCCAAUCGAGCCCGGAGAUAGCUGGUUCUCCCCGAAAUAGCUUUAGGGCUAGCCUCAAGGUGAGAGAUACGGAGGUAGAGCACUGAAUGUCCUAGGGGGUAUUGCACCUACCGAAGACUAUCAAACUCCGAAUGCCGUCAUCUUAUACUUGGGAGUCAGACUGUGGGUGAUAAGAUUCAUAGUCGAAAGGGCAACAGCCCAGAUCGUCAGCUAAGGUCCCUAAAUGUAAGUUAAGUGGUAAAGGAUGUGGGAUUGCACAGACAACCAGGAUGUUGGCUUAGAAGCAGCCACUCAUUCAAAGAGUGCGUAAUAGCUCACUGGUCGAGUGAUCCUGCGCCGAAGAUUUCCGGGGCUAAAACUUACUACCGAAGCUACGGCAUCAGUAAUGAUGGGUAGGGGAGCUUCCCAUACGGGUUGAAGCAUGACCGUAAGGACAUGUGGACAGUAUGGGAGUGAGAAUGUUGGCAUGAGUAGCGAGAUGUGGGUGAGAAUCCCACAGGCCGUAAACCCAAGGUUUCCAGGGGAAGGUUCGUCCGCCCUGGGUUAGUCGGGACCUAAGCUGAGGCCGAAAGGCGUAGGUGAUGGACAACAGGUUGAUAUUCCUGUACUACCGAUAACCAUUUGAGAGAAGGGAUGACACAGUAGGAUAAGCUAAGCACACUGUUGGUUAUGUGUGCCCAAGCAUUGAGGCAGUCAAAGUAGGCAAAUCCGCUUUGAUAAUGCUGGGAUGUGAUGGGGAGCGAAAUUUAGUAGCGAAGUAGCUGAUUUCACACUGUCAAGAAAAGUCUCUAUCGAGGUUAAAGGUACCCGUACCGCAAACCGACACAGGUGGGUGAGGAGAGUAUCCUAAGGCCAGCGAGAGAACUGUUGUUAAGGAACUCGGCAAAAUGACCCCGUAACUUAGGGAUAAGGGGUGCCACCAUCCGGUGGCCGCAGAGAAUAGGCCCAAGCGACUGUUUACCAAAAACAUAGGUUUCUGCUAAGUCGCAAGACGAUGUAUAGGAGCUGACGCCUGCCCGGUGCUGGAAGGUUAAGGGGAUCUGUUAGAGCAAUCGAAGCAGUGAACUUAAGCCCCAGUAAACGGCGGCCGUAACUAUAACGGUCCUAAGGUAGCGAAAUUCCUUGUCGGGUAAGUUCCGACCCGCACGAAAGGCGUAACGAUUUGGGCACUGUCUCAACAACAGACUCGGUGAAAUUGUAAUUCCGGUGAAGAUGCCGGAUACCUGCGACAGGACGGAAAGACCCCAUGGAGCUUUACUGUAGCUUGACAUUGGGUCUUGGUACUACAUGUACAGGAUAGGUGGGAGGCUUUGAAACCAGGACGCCAGUUUUGGCGGAGCCAUCCUUGGGAUACCACCCUUGUAGUACUGGGACUCUAACCAUAGGCCAUGAAUCUGGUCUUGGGACACUGUCAGGUGGGCAGUUUGACUGGGGCGGUCGCCUCCCAAAAGGUAACGGAGGCGCUCAAAGGUUCUCUCAGUACGGUCGGAAAUCGUACGUAGAGUGUAAAGGCAAAAGAGAGCUUGAUUGCAAGACAUACAGGUCGAGCAAGGAUGAAAAUCGGACUUAGUGAUCCGGUGGUUCUGCGUGGAAGGGCCAUCGCUCAACGGAUAAAAGCUACCCUGGGGAUAACAGGCUUAUCUCCCCCAAGAGUCCACAUCGACGGGGAGGUUUGGCACCUCGAUGUCGGCUCAUCACAUCCUGGGGCUGUAGUAGGUCCCAAGGGUUGGGCUGUUCGCCCAUUAAAGUGGUACGCGAGCUGGGUUCAGAACGUCGUGAGACAGUUCGGUCCCUAUCCGUCGCAGGCGUAGGAAAUUUGAGAAGACCUGUCCUUAGUACGAGAGGACCGGGAUGGACGUACCUCUGGUGUACCAGUUGUCCUGCCAAGGGCAUGGCUGGGUAGCUAUGUACGGAAUGGAUAAGCGCUGAAAGCAUCUAAGCGCGAAGCCAACUUCAAGAUAAGAUUUCCCACCGCAAGGGUAAGACCCCAGAAAGACUAUCUGGUUGAUAGGUCGAAGGUGUAAGUGCAGCAAUGUAUUUAGCUUAUCGAUACUAAUAGGUCGAGGACUUGACCAA